AACGUACGCUGGCGGCACGCCUAACACAUGCAAGUCGAACGAAGUAGCAAUACUUAGUGGCAGACGGGUGAGUAACAUGUAGGUAUCUGCCCUUUGGCCUGGAAUAACACGAGGAAACUUGUGCUAAUACCGGAUAAGUCUUUACGGAGAAAGCUUUAUGCACCAUUGGAUGAGCCUGCACUUGAUUAGUUUGUUGGUGGGGUAAUGGCCUACCAAGACUGUGAUCAAUAGCUGAUUUGAGAGGAUGAUCAGCCACAUUGGGACUGAGACACGGCCCAAACUCCUACGGGAGGCAGCAGUGGGGAAUCUUGCACAAUGGAGGAAACUCUGAUGCAGCGAUGCCGCGUGAGUGAAGAAGGCCCUUGGGUUGUAAAGCUCUUUCGUCGGGGAAGAAAAUGACUGUACCCGAAUAAGAAGGUCCGGCUAACUUCGUGCCAGCAGCCGCGGUAAUACGAAGGGACCUAGCGUAGUUCGGAAUUACUGGGCUUAAAGAGUUCGUAGGUGGUUGAAAAAGUUAGUGGUGAAAUCCCAGAGCUUAACUCUGGAACUGCCAUUAAAACUUUUCAGCUAGAGUAUGAUAGAGGAAAGCAGAAUUUCUAGUGUAGAGGUGAAAUUCGUAGAUAUUAGAAAGAAUACCAAUUGCGAAGGCAGCUUUCUGGAUCAUUACUGACACUGAGGAACGAAAGCAUGGGUAGCGAAGAGGAUUAGAUACCCUCGUAGUCCAUGCCGUAAACGAUGUGUGUUAGACGUUGGAAAUUUAUUUUCAGUGUCGCAGGGAAACCGAUAAACACACCGCCUGGGGAGUACGACCGCAAGGUUAAAACUCAAAUGAAUUGACGGGGACCCGCACAAGUAGUGGAGCAUGUGGUUUAAUUCGAAGAUACGCGCAGAACCUUACCAACACUUGACAUGUUCGUCGCGACUCUAAGAGAUUAGAGUUUUCGGUUCGGCCGGACGAAACACAGGUGCUGCAUGGCUGUCGUCAGCUCGUGUCGUGAGAUGUUGGGUUAAGUCCCGCAACGAGCGCAACCCUCACUUUUAGUUGCCAUCAUUAAGUUGGGCACUCUGAAAGAACUGCCAGUGAUAAGCUGGAGGAAGGUGGGGAUGACGUCAAGUCCUCAUGGCCCUUACGUGUUGGGCUACACACGUGCUACAAUGGUAUCUACAACAGGAAGCAAGACUGCGAAGUUAAGCAAAUCCCUAAAAGAUACCUCAGUUCGGAUUGCGCUCUGCAGCUCGAGUGCAUGAAGCUGGAAUUACUAGUAAUCGUGAAUCAGCGUGCCACGGUGAAUGCGUUUCCCGGGUCU
This 1307-nucleotide ribosomal RNA is filed under the name uncultured bacterium. RNAcentral describes it as "bacterial SSU rRNA". It matches the Rfam family "Bacterial small subunit ribosomal RNA", at positions 28 to 1381 of the family's 1533-position model. The record is from RNAcentral.